Molecule: ribosomal RNA, 720 nt
Filed under: Citricoccus sp. Mg52
Lineage: Bacteria; Bacillati; Actinomycetota; Actinomycetes; Micrococcales; Micrococcaceae
Description: bacterial SSU rRNA
Rfam family: Bacterial small subunit ribosomal RNA
Source: RNAcentral
AUGCAGUCGACGCUGAAGCUCCAGCUUGCUGGGGUGGAUGAGUGGCGAACGGGUGAGUAACACGUGAGUAACCUUCCCUUGACUCUGGGAUAAGCCCGGGAAACUGGGUCUAAUACCGGAUAUGACCUCCUGUCGCAUGGUGGGGGGUGGAAAGAUUUAUCGGUCUUGGAUGGACUCGCGGCCUAUCAGCUUGUUGGUGAGGUAAUGGCUCACCAAGGCGACGACGGGUAGCCGGCCUGAGAGGGUGACCGGCCACACUGGGACUGAGACACGGCCCAGACUCCUACGGGAGGCAGCAGUGGGGAAUAUUGCACAAUGGGCGCAAGCCUGAUGCAGCGACGCCGCGUGAGGGAUGACGGCCUUCGGGUUGUAAACCUCUUUCAGUAGGGAAGAAGCCUUCGGGUGACGGUACCUGCAGAAGAAGCGCCGGCUAACUACGUGCCAGCAGCCGCGGUAAUACGUAGGGCGCGAGCGUUAUCCGGAAUUAUUGGGCGUAAAGAGCUCGUAGGCGGUUUGUCGCGUCUGCCGUGAAAGUCCGGGGCUUAACCCCGGAUCUGCGGUGGGUACGGGCAGACUAGAGUGCAGUAGGGGAGACCGGAAUUCCUGGUGUAGCGGUGAAAUGCGCAGAUAUCAGGAGGAACACCGAUGGCGAAGGCAGGUCUCUGGGCUGUUACUGACGCUGAGGAGCGAAAGCAUGGGGAGCGAACAGGAUUAGAUACC